CUCUGCUUACCUGGACCAGGGGCAGCAGAAGAUCUUCCUGCUAUAAUGCCGGGGCCCAGUACCCACACUGGGGCCUGUGGUGCCCAAGGUGUCUCCUGCCAGGCCUAGGCCUGAGAGUUAAGAGACAACACAGCAACCAGCACCCAUUACCUCGUGGAUCUGCUGCUAGAGGCUAUGAGAGGCAUAGAGAAGAUGAAGAUAUGGUGCCUGCCCUAAACUAACCUUUCCUCCAAGUCCACCUCCUUAAGAGGAGACAGCCAGCUGAAUGUGAACAGGAGGACUCCUUAAAAGUUGGCAUCAUGUCUAUUUCCUCUUGGAAUCCAUGGUGCGUACACAGAGUCUGACCCAGAGUAAGGAAUACAGCUCUUGGUCGAAAAAAAUGAAGCUUAUUUUAAGCAAGAACUUAAAACAGACUCUCACAUAAGGACGACCACCCAGGUGAGGGCUUCUUGGUCCACGAACAUCCUUGACCUCAAAGAUGGAAAUUGCAAGAUGGCAGACUGAGAGCACUGUUCAAAGUUCCCUAAUGUGAGCCAUUGGAGAAAUGGCUGGGAUCAACUUUCCUAUCUCUGCUCAAAAGAUGUCAACCUUGUCCACGUCAGCCAGGAUGUCAAGGUGAAGAGGAUAGAAAUUCUGGAUCUGGCUGAGUCUAGUAUCCACCAGAGAAAACUUUGGCCUUUAAUCUGGGAUUUUAUAUCAUUUUCACCUCUAACAGAGAGAGAGAGAGGGGCAUGAGUUGGGUCCACCAACUGGGACAAGCAGGUCCAACCUGCUUCUCUGCUGUCUUCAAUUCCAUUCAGACCCCAUGCCCUGCUGCCUAGCACCUCCACCUUCCCCUCUGGGGCUCCAGCAAAGAGGAAGGCAGUCAGAGCCACUCAAAGGGUCCAACCUCCUUGCAUUCCAGCCCUGGUCAAAGUCAGCCCGGGAACAAGUGGAAAGACCCUCUUGAAGGAAGUGAUUCAGAAACCAUCAUGGCCUGGCGGCCCGCCGUGACUCACAGCACAUCAAUGGGGGAAUUGUCUGUGGAAGCUGAGAAUUCCAAAGCUCUUUUCUUUCCUUUCUUACUUACUUUCUUUUUUUUUCUUUCUUUCUUUUUGCCCUCCCAUUGGCGGCAUUGUGCAACAGCAGGGCUGCCCAGAAACAUGUGGUUUUCAUCAUUGGCUCCACAACUGCCUUAGAGCACUGUGGAGAAAAUAAGACGGAGAGGGAACAGGAUACAAGGGGACCUGUUGCGGUCAAGUGGGGUGCUUCUCUUUCACCCCACCUUUCUUGUCAACACCAACAUCCUCCAAGAGCAUCUGGAAUGGAAGGGAAUAGAAUUUUGGAUCUGGGAGAAAACUUGGAGUAUGUCUCAUCCAAUAACUCUAUGUACAGAUGAGGAA
Molecule: long non-coding RNA, 1382 nt
Organism: Piliocolobus tephrosceles (Ugandan red Colobus)
Lineage: Eukaryota; Metazoa; Chordata; Mammalia; Primates; Cercopithecidae
Exons: 3
Source: RefSeq, a predicted model, not a curated record